This 73-nucleotide transfer RNA is filed under the name Eschrichtius robustus (grey whale). RNAcentral describes it as "tRNA-Gly". The record is from RNAcentral. Lineage: Eukaryota; Metazoa; Chordata; Mammalia; Artiodactyla; Eschrichtiidae.
UUCCCCGACCUGGGUUCGAACCAGUGCCCCCUGCAGUGGAAGUGCAGAGUCUUAACCACUGGACCAUCAGGGA